UUUUCCCUGCCCGGUGCGUGUAUCGAGACAGUGCUCUUCGACCUUAUUUCCAAAUUCGGGAGCUUCAAAGCGGUUUAGCGCAACAAAGCCAGGCCUCCUUACAGGAAGGCCGCGAAGCGCCCGCUGCUCCCACCUGGUACCCUCGGUAGAAGGGGCCCGUCUUUAACGGCCAUGGCGGGGAUUUU
Molecule: non-coding RNA, 185 nt
Filed under: Pedosphaera sp.
Lineage: Bacteria; Pseudomonadati; Verrucomicrobiota; Pedosphaerae; Pedosphaerales; Pedosphaeraceae
Description: 6S RNA
Rfam family: 6S / SsrS RNA
About the family: E. coli 6S RNA was the first non coding RNA to be sequenced, but its function was unknown until recently. It consists of 184 nucleotides that fold into an extended hairpin structure with a large single-stranded internal bulge.
Source: RNAcentral